RNAcentral lists this ribosomal RNA (543 nucleotides) under uncultured archaeon. Its description in RNAcentral is "bacterial SSU rRNA". It matches the Rfam family "Archaeal small subunit ribosomal RNA", at positions 457 to 997 of the family's 1478-position model. The record is from RNAcentral.
GCCAGCCGCCGCGGGAACACCGGCGGCCCGAGUGGUGAUCGUGAUUAUUGGGUCUAAAGGGUCCGUAGCCGGUUUGGUCAGUCCUCCGGGAAAUCUGAUAGCUCAACUAUUAGGGCUUUCGGGGGAUACUGCCAGACUUGGAACCGGGAGAGGUAAGAGGUACUACAGGGGUAGGAGUGAAAUCUUGUAAUCCCUGUGGGACCACCUGUGGCGAAGGCGUCUUACCAGAACGGGUUCGACGGUGAGGGACGAAAGCUGGGGGCACGAACCGGAUUAGAUACCCGGGUAGUCCCAGCCGUAAACGAUGCUCGCUAGGUGUCAGGCAUGGCGCGACCGUGUCUGGUGCCGCAGGGAAGCCGUGAAGCGAGCCACCUGGGAAGUACGGCCGCAAGGCUGAAACUUAAAGGAAUUGGCGGGGGAGCACAACAACGGGUGGAGCCCUGCGGUUUAAUUGGACUCAACGCCGGACAACUCACCGGGGGCGACAGCAAUAUGUAGGCCAAGCUGAAGACUUUGCCUGAAUCGCUGAGAAGUGGUGCAUGG